UCCAGACUCCUACGGGAGGCAGCAGUGGGGAAUAUUGCACAAUGGGGGAAACCCUGAUGCAGCGACGCCGCGUGAGUGAAGAAGUAUUUCGGUAUGUAAAGCUCUAUCAGCAGGGAAGAAAUACUGACCUUACGGUCAGCAGACGGUACCUGACUAAGAAGCCCCGGCUAACUACGUGCCAGCAGCCGCGGUAAUACGUAGGGGGCAAGCGUUAUCCGGAAUUACUGGGUGUAAAGGGAGCGUAGACGGUAAUGUAAGUCUGGAGUGAAAGGCGGGGGCCCAACCCCCGGACUGCUCUGGAAACUAUGUUACUGGAGUGCAGGAGAGGUAAGCGGAAUUCCUAGUGUAGCGGUGAAAUGCGUAGAUAUUAGGAGGAACACCAGUGGCGAAGGCGGCUUACUGGACUGUAACUGACGUUGAGGCUCGAAAGCGUGGGGAGCAAACAGGAUUAGAUACCCCAGUA
Molecule: ribosomal RNA, 463 nt
Filed under: uncultured bacterium
Lineage: Bacteria
Description: bacterial SSU rRNA
Rfam family: Bacterial small subunit ribosomal RNA
Source: RNAcentral